UUUUUCUGGCCUGUGUGGUCAGGUACCUUCUCCUGAAGGAGUCGUCAUUGGUUCGGUAGUGACAUGUCUCACAGGAUUGCCAUCAACCUUUCUUUUCUUAUGUUGGCUUUUUGGUCAGUUUAUUGUUCCUGAUCUUCUCAGUGAUGUAUAGAUAUAUUGCAUAGGGAACCCCGGUGACUAGCUUACUAUUCCGUGCAGUUAGCGGGGAUCCCCGCAAG
Molecule: long non-coding RNA, 218 nt
Filed under: Homo sapiens (human)
Lineage: Eukaryota; Metazoa; Chordata; Mammalia; Primates; Hominidae
Description: non-protein coding lnc-SSBP2-1:1
Source: RNAcentral